This is an RNA transcript of Elephantulus edwardii (Cape elephant shrew), 752 nucleotides long. It is a transcript of the gene named F-actin-capping protein subunit beta isoforms 1 and 2-like, with no coding region annotated. The record is from RefSeq and is a predicted model, not a curated record. The transcript has a single exon. NCBI's taxonomy places the organism in Eukaryota, Metazoa, Chordata, Mammalia, Macroscelidea, Macroscelididae.
UCCUGGGCACCCGGGGAAGUGGAAGCUGGGCCCUGCUGCGGGGGGGAGAACCACAGACACCGGGACCGGGACUGCCGCCGCCGCUGCCACCAUGAGUGAUCAGCAGCUGGAUUAUGCCUUGGAUUUAAUGAGGCGCCUGCCUCCACAGCAAAUCGAGAAAAACCUCAGCGACCUGAUUGACCUGGUCCCCAGCCCUAUGUGAAGAUCUUCUCUCUUCUGUUGACCAGCCACUGAAAAUUGCCAGAGACAAAGUGGUGGGAAAGGAUUAUCUUUUGUGCGACUACAACAGAGAUGGGGACUCCUAUAGGUCACCAUGGAGUAAUAAGUAUGACCCUCCACUGGAAGAUGGAGCCAUGCUAUCUGCUCAGCUCAGGAAGCUGGAAGUGGAAGCCAACAAUGCCUUUGACCAGUAUCGAGACCUGUAUUUUGAAGGUGGCGUCUCAUCUGUCUACCUCUGGGAUCUGGAUCAUGGCUUUGCUGGAGUGAUCCUCAUAAAGAAGGCUGGGGAUGGAUCAAAGAAGAUCAAAGGCUGCUGGGAUUCCAUCCACGUGGUGGAAGUACAGGAGAAAUCCAGUGGACGUACUGCCCAUUACAAAUUAAGCUCCACAGUGAUGCUGUGGCUACAAACCAACAAAUCUGGCUCUGGCACCAUGAACCUCGGCAGCAGCCUUACCAGACAGAUGGAGAAAGAUGAAACUGUGAGUGACUCCUCCCCACACAUAGCCAACAUCGGGCGCCUGGUAGAGGACAUG